GCCUUCGUAGUUUAGUGGUCAGCACGCUCGGCGCGUAUUCGAGAUGUCCGUGGUUCGAGUCCCGGCAAGAGCA
This is a non-coding RNA of Stegodyphus mimosarum, 73 nucleotides long. Lineage: Eukaryota; Metazoa; Arthropoda; Arachnida; Araneae; Eresidae. The record is from Rfam.